Small nuclear RNA from Suncus etruscus (white-toothed pygmy shrew), 146 nucleotides. RefSeq annotates it as U12 minor spliceosomal RNA. NCBI's taxonomy places the organism in Eukaryota, Metazoa, Chordata, Mammalia, Eulipotyphla, Soricidae. The record is from RefSeq and is a predicted model, not a curated record. The transcript has a single exon.
GUAUCUUAAAUUCAUGAGUAAGAAAAAUAAUGAUUCAGGGUGAUGCCCUAAUCUUCACUGCUAAUGUGAGACAAAUUUUGAGCAUAAAAAAAGUUGUUCCUGAGGUGAUCUACUUAGCUAAAUACCUGGUAAUCAUGAUCUGUCUA